Long non-coding RNA from Passer domesticus (house sparrow), 2399 nucleotides. RefSeq lists it as uncharacterized. NCBI's taxonomy places the organism in Eukaryota, Metazoa, Chordata, Aves, Passeriformes, Passeridae. The transcript is spliced from 3 exons. The record is from RefSeq and is a predicted model, not a curated record.
GAAAUCAGAAAUCUCUUAUACAUUCUCUGAGUGUGUGGAGAGUUCUCGAUGUUAAGAUGUUGGCAAUGAGUUACUUCCCUGGGACUGAGAGAAUCUGGGAGAGUCUCUGCCCAUCACUGUCAUUCCUUGGUGUUGGAGCAGAGAUUCCCCUGCAGCCCUGGUGCAGCCCAUGGUGAGGCAGCUGUGCCCUGUGGCCCAUGGAGGUCCAUGGGGGAGCAGAGAUCCACCUGCAGCUCGUGGAAGAUGCAAUACCAGAGCACGUGGAUUCCUGAAGGAGGCUGUGACCUAAAAAAUGUGGGUGUUAAAGUGGUAGGUGCUGCUGCCUAUCCCCAGCAAGCCUCUCCUGUCGAAAAGCAGGCUGAAAUAACAUUCAGGCAAUGCAGUCCACCCUCCCCUUAACACUCACCGCAGCUGGCUCACCGACAGAGGCAAGAAAGGCUCUUUUGCAAGGUUUUAUUCCAGCAGAGCAACACCUUCUCUGAAGGACAAACCCCGGGGAAACAGGAUGAACCACCUGGAGCCGACAGCUUAUAGAGGGGAAGGGGCGGGGGACAGAGCUAAGGGGUGGGCAGAGGGGCCUGGCCACCGAGGGUAGUGGGGUGGCCACCAGGGAUACCAAGCCAGUGACCAAGGAAGGAGGAACCAGAGGGAGUUGUGACGCCAAGUGUGUGGGGAAGAUUGUUUAUCCCUUUGGGAGGGAUGACUCUAUGCUGGAGUUAAAAUAUUCAGUGAGGCAGAGACAGUACACCUGACAAUAAAGAGCAGGAGAGCUCCACAGAGGAGGCAGAUACUGCAGGAAGCCUGUGAGCAUUAGGUGCAAAUCUGGAGCAGCCUGGAGGUUUGAGCAAUUAGUGAAAGAUUUUAAAGAAGAACAGACUUGGGUCUGGCUGGGACCUAGGAACAACUCUUUAGGAGUCAGAGGACAGCCCCAGAGGUGAGAAGGAAUUGGUGAAGCAGCAACCAAUAGUGAAGGACCACUGGAAAGAUGAAAGUGAGAAGUGAGACAUCAAGCCAGAGGGGAUGUCAAGAAAAAGAAGUCAAUGGCAGGUAGAUGCCAGCUGUGAAAAAACCAGGCAACUUCUUCCAGGAAUCAGCACAAGUCCAGUGAAAUGUGGUGAUUUGUCUUUGGCAGUCUUUGGGUAAAAUGAAAUUAUCUUCAAUAAAGCUUUGUAACUGUUAUUACCUCAAAAUUCAGGGAAUAUAGGCAACAUUCUAGUCCAGAAUGCUGAAGACAUGCUUCGUAACUAGAUUAGAUUCCCUAUGCUGAUGCCACUUCCAAAAAUGACCAAAAGACAGAGGAGGAGUGUUUGGCUGAAAAAGUGCCUUUCUGAAUGUCACUUGCAUACCUGUUUGGUAAAUUAAAAUCAGAGUGCACAUUACAUACAAGCAAUUUCAUAAUACCUCUUGUACUCUUACAAGUAUUGCUAUUAAUUCUUUUUUUUUUUGGCAGAAGAAAUAUUCCAUCAUACAGUUUCAUGAUCUUCCUGUCUUCUCCACUGUUCUCCACUUCUCCACUGUGGCUGCAGAAAAUUCUACUGCUAAACUAGUUCAGAUCUAUUUAAAAAGAGAGACUGUGUGCAGAUGGUGGGUCAGUAGGGAUGUUUGUGCUGCACAGCACUGAAAUCCAUUUUGUUCCAUCCAACCAAAUGUAAUUAUGAGUUGGAUUUUUUUGUUUGUUGGUGGGUGUUUUCUUUCCCCCAGGUGUGGCUUACAAGAGAUGAAUAACAGAGGUGUCAGAGAAGCAGUAGGUUUCUUUACUUAUAAUAAGAUUUUGCCUUUUACCCCUUGCAGUGACAUUUCAUUACUUUUUUGUGUCUGAGAACCUUCUUAAAGUCAAAAUACUCAGGAGGAAAGCAUAUAAUAAAUUCUUUUGACUUUCACAUGAAAUAAUUCUGCCAAAUUCUGUUUCUCAAGGUUAUAGAGGAAAGGUGAAAACACAGAUAUUAAAAUAUGAUUUUGCAUAAAUAUUAUUUUUAUCAAAUUAUGUUUUCAGUAUUAUCUUAUUCUGAACUCUGAGGUUCAUAGUGAGAUUCAAACUUCAACCAAGCCAUUUUUAUGCUACAGUUUUGCAUCAUUAAGUGAUGCAAAUUUCAAAAAUACCACCAAGUUCAUUUUCUCAGCACAUUUAUCUGCUAGUUCCUGAAAUUGUCCAAAGUACUUUCAGAGCAUGCACAGAAACAUUUCUGUAGAGGGCUGCAAGAGUUCUGUCCUCUAAGUUGCUUUUCCAGAAUCAAAGACUAAUUAGGUAAGGGGCAAAUGGUACUCUAGGAUAGAAAACACAAAUAUAAUAAGGUCAGUGUAUAGUGUCAGAUGUUAUUAGUAUUUUCUCUAUAUAAAAUAUCACCUUUAGGAUUUUAAAGCAACAGUUUAUCCCCAAACUUCUAAAAUGUGAUUUUUCU